This is a non-coding RNA of Momordica charantia (bitter melon), 582 nucleotides long. Lineage: Eukaryota; Viridiplantae; Streptophyta; Magnoliopsida; Cucurbitales; Cucurbitaceae. The record is from RefSeq and is a predicted model, not a curated record.
AAAAGGAAAGAAAGAACACAGAAGGAAAGUAGAAGGGAAAGAACGAAGGAAAAUAGAGGAGAGAUAGUAAGGAUCUCACAAAGAGUUGUUGAGAAAAUCUUGGGUUAAUGUUGAUUUUGAGAGCUUCACCAUGAACAAUACCAAAAUUUGGUCAAACAGAAUUUGGAAUAGCGGACGAUCCAGUUUAAAAGAUUUGCCGUACCUGAGUUUCUGAUUUUCUGAGUUUCUGAGUUUCAAGGAGAUAGUAGUUCAGCGUCUGCCACCUAGAAUAGUUCAAAGUUGCAUGACAUUCUGUAUGUAAAUUUUGUUGGUCUGUAAGAAAUUUUUAUCUACACCAUUUUGAUAAAAAAUAAUGUAUAGAAUGGAUGUAAGAAUGGUUGUUCUAUUGAGAUUAUUAUUUUAUUGUGCGUCCAUACAGAGAUUGUUAGUCAAAGAUCAGGUCAAGGUUAAGAAAGAAAGUUGAUCGUGGACUCCAUAGCUAGUCAGGGUCUGUGGUCGGCGUGAAUCAUUCUAGGACAACUAGGUAUUUUGAGACAGGUUAUGUCACUUCAAGAGUUGAGAUGAAUUCAUUAUUGUAUGUUG